This 62-nucleotide transfer RNA is filed under the name Daboia russelii (Russell's viper). RNAcentral describes it as "tRNA-Glu". The record is from RNAcentral. Lineage: Eukaryota; Metazoa; Chordata; Lepidosauria; Squamata; Viperidae.
GUUUUUGUAGUUGAUAAACAACAGUGGUUUUUCAGGCCUCAGGACUCUAAGGAGCAAAAAUA